Molecule: long non-coding RNA, 394 nt
Organism: Osmerus eperlanus (European smelt)
Lineage: Eukaryota; Metazoa; Chordata; Actinopteri; Osmeriformes; Osmeridae
Exons: 2
Source: RefSeq, a predicted model, not a curated record
ACCCUGGCAGGUUGGGCAAGGUCAUCCAGGACCAUCAGGAGGCGCAUGCAUCCCAGUGCAACAAGACUCUCACUUCCGCACAUGCUCACUUCAACAAGAGCAACAGAAAGCAGAGUGGACAGGGAGGGAGAGAGGGCAGCAGGCGCCCCUUUAGAGCGCCCUCUGGAAGACAUGCCCUGGAUGCCAGCAGAGAGAAGCACAGAUGACAAGGACCUAAAGCCUAAAGCGGGGCCUCCGACAGCGAGUGGACAGACCCUUCAUCGGGACAGACCCAAGAAUAAAAAUACAAAUUCUCGAAUAAUCUAGACACCAAAAAUAAUUUGAUUGAAUAACUAAUGAUACAUUAUUGAAUAAUAAUUUGAUUACAUAAAUAAAUAAUAAAUAUUUAUUAAGA